GUUCAAAGGUCUCUUAUUGCAAAUUUGCAGCCGAUUUUGUUUGCAGGGUGGACAGAGGUGCUGAGCUGGGGACAGGGUUCAGCGAUUGGGAUUUAGGUGGAUGUGGCAGGUAAUAGGCAACUGAACAAUCAGAGACUGCAGGGAAGAUGAGGGAGACGAAUUUCUGCCGCCGAUGAGCUGGUUGAACGUUGAGUCUCAGGUGAAUCAGUGGGAGCAGGUUGAUACAGGCCACACCCAGCUGAACAAAUACACACCCCCGGGCUGACCACAGUGAAGAGGCCUCAUCCUAACAGUAGACCUGAGGAUGUUUAGUUUGUUUACAGCGUCCAUGUUUUUUCCACAUGAGAACAACAAAGUACGGAC
Molecule: long non-coding RNA, 363 nt
Organism: Pleuronectes platessa (European plaice)
Lineage: Eukaryota; Metazoa; Chordata; Actinopteri; Pleuronectiformes; Pleuronectidae
Exons: 3
Source: RefSeq, a predicted model, not a curated record